GGACCGCUACUAACAAAAAUAUACUUUUUCAAUUAAAAAAAAUAAAAUAAAUUUACUUACAAAAAAAAAGAGCGUUAACGGACGGUCUCCUCGAGCCGUCGCCGAAGACCGGCCAUCAUUGGCGAUGAAUUCCAGCUGCAGAUUUUCCUUCGAACACUGAUAUCAGGUUCUUGGUGAAACUGCAGCAUACUCAACGUACACACAGGGGUUUUUCUUUACCCCAGUGCCUGUAAAAGGAUUUUCAAAUCUUGGAGCCAACCGCGAUCACGAUAACGGUAACGGAAAUCACAGUCGCGGUAACUGUUAAGAUCAGAAAUCUUUACCGUGUGACUGGGAGAUUAUUGAUCCCUUAAUAAUAAAUUCGCGAUAUUGGUCAAUAAAUUUCUGAUCGCAUUCAUUAGUUAAUAGCAAAUUGAUAUCUUGAGAAGAUGGUGAUUGACCUUUUUGUAAUGUUUGGUAUAUGAUGUUCAAAAUUGUUAGGUUUAUCAUUAUGUGGAAGACUAUAAGAAGGUGUUGAAAGCAAAGCAGAAAGCCACAUACAGUUGGAAAAAGGAGAAGAGUGGGAAAUUAAUAAAAAUUUGUGCACCAACUUACCCUUUUUUCCCAUUAGAUUAACUUAAAUCUUUCAUGGCGGUUGUUACAUUUGAUUAUAUUUUGUAUUCUUUGAUAAUUACUAGAUUUUCUUGUAAAUCAAUUACCGGUGUCUCGAAAAAAAAAAUAAUUUAAAAUCAAGUAUUAGUUAAA
Molecule: long non-coding RNA, 744 nt
Organism: Spinacia oleracea (spinach)
Lineage: Eukaryota; Viridiplantae; Streptophyta; Magnoliopsida; Caryophyllales; Amaranthaceae
Exons: 3
Source: RefSeq, a predicted model, not a curated record